GCGUCGAGCGGCGGACGGGUGAGUAAUGCCUAGGAAAUUGCCCUGAUGUGGGGGAUAACCAUUGGAAACGAUGGCUAAUACCGCAUGAUGCCUACGGGCCAAAGAGGGGGACCUUCGGGCCUCUCGCGUCAGGAUAUGCCUAGGUGGGAUUAGCUAGUUGGUGAGGUAAUGGCUCACCAAGGCGACGAUCCCUAGCUGGUCUGAGAGGAUGAUCAGCCACACUGGAACUGAGACACGGUCCAGACUCCUACGGGAGGCAGCAGUGGGGAAUAUUGCACAAUGGGCGCAAGCCUGAUGCAGCCAUGCCGCGUGUGUGAAGAAGGCCUUCGGGUUGUAAAGCACUUUCAGUCGUGAGGAAGGUAGUGUAGUUAAUAGCUGCAUUAUUUGACGUUAGCGACAGAAGAAGCACCGGCUAACUCCGUGCCAGCAGCCGCGGUAAUACGGAGGGUGCGAGCGUUAAUCGGAAUUACUGGGCGUAAAGCGCAUGCAGGUGGUUUGUUAAGUCAGAUGUGAAAGCCCGGGGCUCAACCUCGGAAUAGCAUUUGAAACUGGCAGACUAGAGUACUGUAGAGGGGGGUAGAAUUUCAGGUGUAGCGGUGAAAUGCGUAGAGAUCUGAAGGAAUACCGGUGGCGAAGGCGGCCCCCUGGACAGAUACUGACACUCAGAUGCGAAAGCGUGGGGAGCAAACAGGAUUAGAUACCCUGGUAGUCCACGCCGUAAACGAUGUCUACUUGGAGGUUGUGGCCUUGAGCCGUGGCUUUCGGAGCUAACGCGUUAAGUAGACCGCCUGGGGAGUACGGUCGCAAGAUUAAAACUCAAAUGAAUUGACGGGGGCCCGCACAAGCGGUGGAGCAUGUGGUUUAAUUCGAUGCAACGCGAAGAACCUUACCUACUCUUGACAUCCAGAGAACUUUCCAGAGAUGGAUUGGUGCCUUCGGGAACUCUGAGACAGGUGCUGCAUGGCUGUCGUCAGCUCGUGUUGUGAAAUGUUGGGUUAAGUCCCGCAACGAGCGCAACCCUUAUCCUUGUUUGCCAGCGAGUAAUGUCGGGAACUCCAGGGAGACUGCCGGUGAUAAACCGGAGGAAGGUGGGGACGACGUCAAGUCAUCAUGGCCCUUACGAGUAGGGCUACACACGUGCUACAAUGGCGCAUACAGAGGGCAGCAAGCUAGCGAUAGUGAGCGAAUCCCAAAAAGUGCGUCGUAGUCCGGAUUGGAGUCUGCAACUCGACUCCAUGAAGUCGGAAUCGCUAGUAAUCGUGGAUCAGAAUGCCACGGUGAAUACGUUCCCGGGCCUU
This 1298-nucleotide ribosomal RNA is filed under the name Vibrio sp. ABR3-1. RNAcentral's name for it is "bacterial SSU rRNA". It matches the Rfam family "Bacterial small subunit ribosomal RNA", at positions 88 to 1382 of the family's 1533-position model. The record is from RNAcentral. Lineage: Bacteria; Pseudomonadati; Pseudomonadota; Gammaproteobacteria; Vibrionales; Vibrionaceae.